UAUCUCUGUAGAGUCUGCAUAUCAAUAAGCGGAGGAAAAGAAACUAACUAGGAUUCCCUUAGUAACGGCGAGUGAAGCGGGAAGAGCUCAAAUUUGAAAUCUUCAAGGUUUUACCUUGACGAAUUGUAGUUUAAAGAAGUGUUUUCUGUUGGAGUUUUGGUAAAAGUUCUUUGGAAUAGGACAUCAUAGAGGGUGAGAAUCCCGUAUUUGACCAUUUCUUCCAGCUGUGUGAUACACUUUCAAAGAGUCGGAAUGUUUGGGAAUGCAGUCCAAAAUGGGUGGUAAAUUUCAUCUAAAGCUAAAUAUUGGCGAGAGACCGAUAGCGAACAAGUACCGUGAGGGAAAGAUGAAAAGAACUUUGAAAAGAGAGUUAAACAGUACGUGAAAUUGUCAAAAGGGAAGCGUUUGACACCAGUGUUGUUUUCUCGAAAAUCAAUUAAAAAUGACUUGGAUUUUGUGUUGUAUUGACCUUUAUAAGCUUUUCUUGCACUUUUUUCUUAUUAUUUUUAAUGCACUUUUCGUUUAACAAGUCAACAUCAAUUUCUUUUGUUGUAAAAGAGUCAUUGGAAGGUGGCUUUUCUUUCGGAGAAAGUGUUUAUAGCCUUUGGACUUCCUGCAAUCGGAGAGACUGAGGUCUGCAGCGUAGAUCCUUUUGGGAUUAGAUUACAUUUGUGCUAAGUUAUAGCUUCUUUAUAGACAACAUGUUGACUAUAAUUAAGUCUUGUAACUUACUCGCUUAUGUAUUUUACCUACGCUUAGGAUGUUGAACGCGCACAGAGUCUC
RNAcentral lists this ribosomal RNA (783 nucleotides) under uncultured Neocallimastigales. RNAcentral's name for it is "partial large subunit ribosomal RNA". It matches the Rfam family "Eukaryotic large subunit ribosomal RNA", at positions 24 to 614 of the family's 3401-position model. The record is from RNAcentral. Lineage: Eukaryota; Fungi; Neocallimastigomycota; Neocallimastigomycetes; Neocallimastigales.